UAGCUCAGUUGGUUUAGAGCACCUCGUUUACACCGAGGGGGUCGGGGGUUCGAAUCCCUC
RNAcentral lists this transfer RNA (60 nucleotides) under Crocinitomicaceae bacterium. Its description in RNAcentral is "tRNA-Val". It matches the Rfam family "tRNA", at positions 8 to 63 of the family's 71-position model. From Rfam's summary of the family: Transfer RNA (tRNA) molecules are approximately 80 nucleotides in length. Their secondary structure includes four short double-helical elements and three loops (D, anti-codon, and T loops). Further hydrogen bonds mediate the characteristic L-shaped molecular structure. tRNAs have two regions of fundamental functional importance: the anti-codon, which is responsible for specific mRNA codon recognition, and the 3' end, to which the tRNAs corresponding amino acid is attached (by aminoacyl-tRNA synthetases). tRNAs cope with the degeneracy of the genetic code in two manners: having more than one tRNA (with a specific anti-codon) for a particular amino acid; and 'wobble' base-pairing, i.e. permitting non-standard base-pairing at the 3rd anti-codon position. The record is from RNAcentral. Lineage: Bacteria; Pseudomonadati; Bacteroidota; Flavobacteriia; Flavobacteriales; Crocinitomicaceae.